UGGGGAAUUUUGGACAAUGGGCGCAAGCCUGAUCCAGCAAUGCCGCGUGUGUGAAGAAGGCCUUCGGGUUGUAAAGCACUUUUGUCCGGAAAGAAAUCCGUCUGGCUAAUACCCGGACGGGAUGACGGUACCGGAAGAAUAAGCACCGGCUAACUACGUGCCAGCAGCCGCGGUAAUACGUAGGGUGCGAGCGUUAAUCGGAAUUACUGGGCGUAAAGCGUGCGCAGGCGGCUUUGUAAGACAGAUGCGAAAUCCCCGGGCUCAACCUGGGAACUGCAUUUGUGACUGCAAGGCUAGAGUGCGUCAGAGGGAGGUGGAAUUCCGCGUGUAGCAGUGAAAUGCGUAGAGAUGCGGAGGAACACCGAUGGCGAAGGCAGCCUCCUGGGAUGACACUGACGCUCAUGCACGAAAGCGUGGGGAGCAAACA
This 427-nucleotide ribosomal RNA is filed under the name uncultured bacterium. RNAcentral describes it as "bacterial SSU rRNA". It matches the Rfam family "Bacterial small subunit ribosomal RNA", at positions 355 to 774 of the family's 1533-position model. The record is from RNAcentral.